This 375-nucleotide ribosomal RNA is filed under the name uncultured delta proteobacterium. RNAcentral's name for it is "bacterial SSU rRNA". It matches the Rfam family "Bacterial small subunit ribosomal RNA", at positions 538 to 915 of the family's 1533-position model. The record is from RNAcentral. Lineage: Bacteria; Deltaproteobacteria.
GCGUUGUUCGGAAUUAUUGGGCGUAAAGCGCGUGUGGGCGGCUAGAUAAGUCUGAUGUGAAAGCCCGGGGCUUAACCCCGGAAGUGCAUUGGAUACUAUCUAGCUAGAGGGUCGGAGAGGGAAGCGGAAUUCUUGGUGUAGGGGUGAAAUCCGUAGAUAUCAAGAGGAACACCGAUGGCGAAGGCAGCUUCCUGGCCGACUUCUGACGCUGAGACACGAAAGCGUGGGUAGCAAACAGGAUUAGAUACCCUGGUAGUCCACGCCCUAAACGAUGGAUACUAGAUGUUGGCGAUAUACGGUCAGCGUCUAAGCGAAAGCGUUAAGUAUUCCACCUGGGGAGUACGCCCGCAAGGGUGAAACUCAAAGGAAUUGACG